GUGCUUGACUGUGUACGCUGCAGCUCCAGCCGCCGACCUUGCAUGUCUUUGCAUGCCCAUUUCUGUACAACACUGAGCUGUUUUCUUUUUCUUUCUCCUUUGUAUCUUUCUUCUAGCCUCCCUCUCUCCUUCUCAAAUCUCGUUUCUUAUUUCCAUUUUCUUCGCUGUUUGCUUUGUUGUUUGGUGCUUCCUCGCGGGUAAGGGGCUUCAUCUUUCCUUUUGCAUACGGCUCACACUGUCGUAGACGUGCGCGUCUCUUUCUCCUUCCUGGUCUCGCCCCUUCCGCCGCGUAUCCCACACUAUCCGUCAAAAAACAACAAAAAACCAAAGAUAUCACGUAUUUAGGGCGUGUUUGUGUGUGAGAAGCAACUAUAAGGUGGUCGCGGGUCUUCUCUCAAGCCGACACGCUUGUGUUGUCGUGUGUGGCUAACAAGGGAGGCAAGUGACUGUGCGUGCUCUCGUGGACGGGAAGGGAUUGCUUCUCUUCCCCUACACGAGUGUUACGCGUAGGCGACGGGAAACGCUCCUCUUUGUGUUGCGCUCCCGCACCAUAUCGGGGACUUUUCCUUUGUGCUGUCUUCAUCUGUGAGGGAGGGGAGGGAGGGGGGCGCAACCCUGUUUUUCUGUGCGUGCGCUUGGCUGCCGGUUGUUUGGGAAAUCUUCGCGCUCACCUCUCGUUCUUUCUUUCCCUCUUUCCAGUCACUUUCCGUACCUCACACAGCUUGUGUGUGUGCGCGGGUGUGUGUGUCUCUUUUCUUCUUCCUCCAUCUCCGUCAAGGCCUCCAUCCCUCUCCCUCUCCCCGACUUUCCUUUUUGGCUCCCUCUGAUCUGUUGUUGUGCGUUUUCUUCCGCUCCGUCGUUGUGACGGGGCCGUUCCGCUUGGCUGACUCGUUUCUUUUAUUUUGUUCAGCCCUUUCGUUCUCACGCGUGUGCUCAUAGCUCCUGAUCCCUUUUUCUUUCUGUUUCUUACGUUCCCCUCUCUCCAUUUGGAAAGUGUGUUGGCGCUUGAGGGCGUCAGCAACAUUCUUCUCCUGCAAUCUAGGAACAGCAGCCACAGACGCACUCAGCAACACACACACACACACACACACACACACACACAACACCGCACUAUAGAAGUGCUAGAGAAGGUGAUACAAGUGAUCAAGCGGAAUAACAAAAAAAAAGGCACCACGUCCAGACCUACCUAUACACCCCCUAGCACACCCAGAGAGCAUACGCCACCCUCUCUCUUUCUCUCCAACGUUCUUAGAGACACGAGUGAUUUCUCUGCCAGCAGACACUCCAUCUGUAGCCAUCCACGCACGCGCACACACAGAGACACAUAUAAACACACAGCAUCGUUGACCCCUGCUGACGCUCUUCACGUUUUUUUAUUUUUAUCAGAGCGUGUGCGUGCUUGCGUCUCUCUUUAUCUCUCUCUCACUGUGUGUGUGUGUGCUCAAAGUAGGUGCUACUCUAUAUUUUCUUCUCCCUUUCUGUGUAUUUGUGUGCGUUUCUCUGCGCGUUCUCGUGUCCUGGGCAGUGCGCUGCCCUGAGGCCUUCGCAUCAUUCUCUUCUGUGUCGUUCAAGUCCUUUGCCACAGCGCGCUUUUCAAGGGUACAUCGAAGUGAUAACCGCUCGGCACCACAGCUACCGCGUCCGAGAAGCAAGAAGUCAGGGCUGUUCUCUUGCGCGGUAAGUCUCUCUCGCUCUCUCUCUCUGACUCUCUCGCGUCUCGGAUACAGCGCUCAUUUUAUUGCUGUCCUUUGUUUUGCUCUGUUCCGUUCACCAACCCUUGAAAGGCGUCUUUUCCCCUAUCAGCUUUCGCUGCGCAACCCGAUUUAACGUCACCUCUACUGGCUUCCCUUCUUGCGGUCAGGGCGCACACAGCAACACGGCAACGCACGUGAGAGACGAACGCGAGUGACUUUGCCAUUGCCCCUACUCCACCUCAUUGCCAGUCACAAAACGCACAUCAUGGACAGCUCAAGCGCUUGCGCGCCGUCACGUGCGUGGCAGAGUAACGAAGAGGUAGCCCAACGCCCCAUCUGCACUUUCUUUGCCAUGGGUGGCUGCUGCAAGGGAGCGCGGUGCCCAUUCUCGCAUGAGCUGGUGCAGCUGCCGCCGAAAGGUGUCGAUGCCUCAGGUGGCUACUUUAUUAGCGGUAACGUUGCAAACUACAAGGCAGCCGCGUCCACGACGGCGGCGAAGCCGCCGUCACGCAGCUUGGUCGGUCGGUGGGAUGAUCCGACCGCAUCGAGCAGCACCGACGGCUUGUCGACCCUUGCGUCGCCUUCCUCGUGUUGCGUGACGACAGGUACGUCUCUCAGCGCCGAAGCGAAGGAGUGGGUCGGAGCUGACAGCGCAGCCGCCUCCUCAUCUGCCAACUCGGCCACCGCCUCCAUCACGUCCGUUCAAUCGCUGCGAGGUGCGGCCUCCCCGACUGUUUGCGUGAGCUCCAGCUCUCUUCGCUACAGGUCUGCGACCUUGCGCCGCACUGCCCAGCAGGUGUCACCACUGCCCGUGCCGCAUUCUCAGCGGGACUCUCAGCCUCAGCCCCAGCAAGCCCAAAUGCAGCUACAAUCACAGCACUCGCAGAAGCCGCAGCCGUCGCCGCCGCAGCCACAGCUACAUCAGCAACACAAGCGUCAGUAUCAACAGCCGCCUCAGCCACGCAGCGUCGCAAACGCUCUCUCCGCUCUACUCCCCAACCACUCGGAGGGCAGUGGCGCUGCAGAGACACGCCGCACAUCCGCGGCACCUACGCACCCCGCUGCCACAGCGCGCACCGUGUCCUUCACGCAGUCCUCUAACGGCUCUGGAUCGACGACUAUAGCUGCCCUCGCCUCCUUUUUCGACAUGCAGCGCGUUUCCACGGGCGCCCCUUCGGUGACGUCGUCCAGCGUCGUAUCGCAGCCAAGCAAAGUCAUCUUUUCCACUCGCCGCGACGAUCAGCCGCCAGCCACCGCACCAUCGCCCGCCACCGCGGCACUACCUCGGUACACCGCCGCUUGCGUCACCGUCGCCGCCUCCAACCAGCGUUUUGAUCCGUUGCCCUCCGUGCCCAGCGUUCCGACCACGGCCACCCCCGCCCCUGCUCACGGCAGCAGCCGCUCGGCCACACCGAGCCAGAAUGUGGAGGCUCCCCUGCCUCGCAGUCGCGAGGCCCUGGCUACCGGUGCGGAGCGCCACGCUGCUACCGAGGCAAAGGCGCACGUGGCGCAGAGUGCUGCUCCACCUUCGACGGCGGCAGCGCCGACAUCGCCGCCACAGUAUGAGUCGCGGACUGCGUCCUCCGCUCAAACUCGCGUCAUGCCGCCGGCUCCUCGUUCUCAACAGCAGCAGGCAGCGCAUCAGGCCCAGCAACUUCGUGCACAAGAAGCGCAGCACCAGGCGCAGCUCCAGCAGCAGCUCCACCCCCAACAACAGACACAGCAACUUGCACAGCAGCAGGCUCAACUGCAACCAUUUCAGCAGCAGAUUCAGCCCCAGAAGCCGCCGCCGCAGCAGCAGACGGUGUACAUGUUGACUACCUCCCGUCCACCGGCUACCUCUACACCUCCGCACGAAGGUAUCGCUGCGCCUGCCCAGCUCCCACUCGGCUACACCCUUGCCUACGCUGUGCCCGCGCCUACACCAACCGCUCCCGCGGCCACCCCAAUCCUUAUCUCGGAGCAGCCGAGCGCCGCUCGACCCACCUACACGUUGCUUUCCUCGUGCCCGCCGCAAUCGCAGCUACAGAGCUUUCAGACGGCAAAGGGAACAGUACUGUACGCGACGCCGGCGCAGGUGCUUACCCAGGCCGCGGCGCCAAGCGAAAGCGAUGCCCCUCGUCUGAUCCUUGUCAAUACAGAUGGCACUUUCUCCGUCCUGAAAGCAGAAACGUUGGCGGCCACUGCCGGCCCUGGCCUGUCGCCGGCCAUCACGCAGGCGCACUAGUUGAUCAAGCGAGAUUUCGAGCGCACGUCUAGUUCACCAGCGGAGGCGUCUAUUGGCAAACGCCAAGGACAGAAGGGGAUAGGGCGUAUCUCUCUUAAGUUAAUUGUUUUGCUAGCCGCUCUUACUUCUCUCUUGGUGCCUCUACCGAUAUGGCACCAUUGCAGCGUCUCCCCUUCUUGGUCGUGCUCGGUGAUGCCCUCCCCUUUUCCUCCUCCCCGACUUCUCCUGAUUGGCGUCUUGCCGUGUUUGAUUGUGUGCCACCUUGCUGCUACUGCCUCUGCACAUUCAUGUGUGUCUUUUAUUUGUUUACACGUUUUUUUAUUUUGGCUUCCUUUCCAGCUCUUUCUUUUUCUGUCGUCGUGCUCUCCGUGCCGCUCCGCACUUGAGCGUGCGUAUCGUUGAUUGGCGAAUUCUUCGUUUCUGCGUGUGCGUGUCUUUGGCUCUCUGAUUUCUCUCUCGAUUGCGGUUACAACUCUCGCGCGAUUGGAUGUGCGCUUGUGCGUGCGUUUGUGUGUGCACGCAUCGGUAUGCGGGUGUUUUUCUUUUUCAUCUGCUACACACACACACUCAUCUCUUCUCUGUUCCUCUCCGCUUCCCAUCUCUAAACGUGGACUCUUCCUUCUGCAUGCUUUCUUGCUCACGGUUCUGUGUCUCCUUUUUUUGUGUGUUUUCGUAUCAUCGGCGUCUCUUUCUGUCUGCGCAUGCGUGUAUGUGUGUGUCUUUGUGGAGCGUAUGGAUGCAUGAAAAACAAAAAAAGUCUCUAUUUCCUUUUGUUGUUGCGUAACAGACGUGCGUGCCGCUGUGUAUAUAAGCCGUCUUGGGCGUGUGCACCCGCACGUGCGUGUGUUAGUCUUGUUGUCUUCCUUCUUUCCCAUUUCUUGCCCUCUCGCUCUAAUUGCGCAUUUUUUUCUUGGCGAUUGGGGGCAGUGCGCACCAUCUUUUCUCGCUUUUUUUUCGUGUGGCGUUGUUUCUGGGUUUAGCGACGUUUUUUUUUUGACGUAUCUAUUACUGUGUUGCUGUAUCCGCGGCAGUCGACUGGCGUAGUUCCCCUUCUCUCUCGUUACCUUCCCAUUUCAUUUGUUGCUUUCCUCUCUCUCUGCCUGUUUGCGAGAGUGCACAGUCGAGUUUUCGCUUCUGUUUUUUUUUGCCUCAUUUCGAUUUCGUGAUGCGUAUUUUGCGUCUAGAGCAUUGCGCUCGCGGUUAGGUGUGUGUGCGUGGUGAAGGCGGUGAUGGCGCUCCGUUUUUCCCAUGUUGAUUCGCAUGUUCACAUCGUGGGGGUUUUCCCCCUCCCUCUCUUCGUCUGGGUUUCUACUUCGAGUGCGCACACCUCUCUAUCUUUUCUCCCUUUUUCCCUCUCUCUCUGUGUGUGGCAUUGCGUCUCUGUUUUGCUUCAUUCCUCGCAUGUGCUUGCCGCUGUGCUUCGUGCCGAUGUAUAUAUAUAUAUGAUGCCUGCCUUCUCUCUCGGUGGGUAUGCUUUUCUCUUGCCAGCGUGUUAUGGCGCUUCUUGUGUGCUUUCCUUCGUGCUUUACUGUACAAGCGUAAGUUCUGUCUCUGCCUCUCUCUCGUUCUUCUUUUUCUUUUCGAAGCUUAUUACUCGCCUUCCACAUGUUUCCCUGUCUUUUAUGUAGGUGGCCGGCUCAUAACUACCUGUUUGUGUGCAUGCGUGUAUGUGUGUGCGUGUGUGCGUGUGUAUAAUGUUAUUGCUGUUCGGGAUGCUGGGUGGAGAAGGCACUGAAGUAGGCACUAGCCCCGCACGUGAUCUCCAUCCCUUCACACCCCCUCCUCGCUUCUUGCAUGAGCUUGCUACCACCCUCCCACAAACAUACACCGACGCUAAAGCGAAUUGGAAACGAAAGUGCCAAGUGAACGGCGUUGCUUACGGGCGCUGAUGUGUGUGAGCGCGCGUGCGCUUCAACGGGUACUGGCUCUUCCCUUUCCGGCUGAAGGGCACGCUGGCGUGCGGGUAUGUGUGUGGGUGGUGUAGGACGUGGGGCGCGCGUGUGAAGGGCAAAGGAGGUGGCGUAUGAUGUGCGUCUCGGGCCUUUUUUUCUGGUGUGGGGCUAUGCUGUUGUGGGUAUCUUUCUAGGCUUCGGCUUCUUCCUCCACUGCUUUCUCUCUUUCCUGGUCACAUCCUUACCCCCCCCCCCCCAAUCGCCCAUCUUUUCCCUCUUCUCAUUCGACGGCGCUGCUCCGAGGGGCACGCCGGAGCACGACAGGAAGCGCGUGUAGGCGGUAGGUAAAAUAGGUCACUCAACAUCUCUGCUACAACUUCUUUCAUUGCCGCUUCUGUCCACAAACGCGUAAUCGUUCGGCGCCUCUUCUUCCCUACUUGUUGACAUUCUCUUUUUCCACAUGUUCAUGUGCACUCGCGUGUGCAUGUAUCCCUUCCGUUAUCCCCCUGCGUCAUCUCUCUCGGCGUUCUUCCCUCCUCCCCAAUAUUCCACACCUUUUUUUUUGGUGCUGUUGCGUUGUCCGGGUGCGUCUCUCGUGCUUUGCGUACGACAUUCUAUACGCCAUCAUGCGUUUUUCUUAUAUAUAUAUGUGUGUGUGUGUGCGUGUGUGUGCGUGUUGCCUUUCAUAUGCGGCUGCUUCGGCGUCGUUGCGGGACUUCCCCCCCUUUUUCACCCUCCUUUUCUUUACUGCAAAACAAACUUUUCUGACGUUCGUUUUGCUUGCGUCUCUUUGUGCCUUUAUCUUUUUCGUCCAGCUGCAUACUCGCGUCGAUCGGAGGGUCGUGCGGCUUUGUGUGUGAUGGCGCAUCAUCUCGCUCUCUCUCUCUCGCUCUUGAGUUGCUUGCCAUUGUUCGCUGCUCGCGUUGCCGCUAUGCCUUUUAGUUCUCAUUUUUUGAUGAGGUGUAAAUCUGUGCGCGUGCUCACUGGCCGUGCCUACUUCCUGAUCGUCUGUGCUCUGCGUCCUUCUUGUUCUCUCGUUUCUCGUAGCGUGCUCUCGUCUGGCUACGGGAUGGGGCGUUGUGUGAGACAGCCAUGGACAGAACAAGGAAAAGGGGGUGGGAAAAGGACACAAAUCGAUGAUCAACAGGGACUACCUUGCACCGGCAGCUCCGUCACACCAGCGCAUUUAUGCUGCCUCAUGUGCUUUCUUGUUGUGCGCAUGUCCGCGUUUGGUCCACCCUCGUGCUUGAAGCAUCGCUCAUUGAGGUUUCGUGAGUGUUGCUGUCUCCCCCCUCUCAUCCUCCUUCCUCCCCUCUCCAUCUCUCUCUGUUUAUCUGUGCAUACUGUUUGCUUGCCUCAUUACGACGGAGCUGUACGUAUGUUUAUGAGUGUUGCGAUUGAGGUGAGGGCCGCCUUUUUUUUGGUCUGUUUCGUGUCGUCGUUCUUGGCAUGCGUUCCUCCUCUGGUGCCUUAAUUGCGUUUCACAUUAGCCAGCUGAUGGUGCGUCUUCCCUACGCUGCCGCAUUCUUUUUUUUUGUUGUGUUUUUAUGACUCUGUCUUCACCGAUCACCACCCACUCACAUCGCCCAAGGCCCCUCUGCUGCCUUGUAUUCGGAGCCUGUUUUGCGUGCGCCUGCGCUCGUGACUGACUUGUUGUAUGCAUCUGUGUAUCUUUGCCCUGUUCACCCAUUCAUUGUUUCUACAGCAAUCACAUUACCAGCGUACGGCGUUGAUGUAUCUACAUGGUGGAUAGCUGUGCUUGUCUUUCUACUGGUGCUUUUCUUCUGUGCUCUGUUUCUUCGAACGGCCCGUGUUCGUGGCCUUUACCCUUUUUUCUUCCAUGCUUCCUUCUCUAUGGGAGAACAAGCGGGAGGGGCGGAGGGAGGCGGCAGCAGAGGAGAAAGGGCCGUGCUUGUUGCAUGUGCCGGCGCCCGCGCGAUAGAAAGUGGCAUGUGUGCGGGCGAUGCUAAAAUGCUUAAUUGGGUGCGAUUGGGGUGUUCGUCAUUCUCAGGCUUUUCAGCCGCCUCCAAACCAACGCAAACGCCAGACAGUGCCGUGCAAGAAGGCUUUUAGAGAAGAAAAAAACGAAAAGAGAACCACAGCCGCUUUUACCUGUAUCUUCCUCUUUGUCCAAGAACGUUUUGCUGACUUCGCUCUCCACUGCCCUGAUGAUACCGUUUACUUCACCAUGGUAUCAGGGUGUGGAACCCAGGCUCUGUGUGGGGAGGCCAAGAGCCUGCAGCCCGGCCGCCGGGCACGGCUGCGGCCUCUUGGCGUCGGCGGUCAGCGCUUGGCUGGCGCGGUGCCGAGGAGACGUGCGGCCAUGAUCGCGCUUGGACCAGCUCACGACGAGUCGCACCGACGGCUCACCACAUAUGCGCGCAGGCGCCCACCGCUUUUCUGCCUUUGCUGCCUUUGCUGCGUUGCGGUGGUGUGGAGCGUGAUCGCGGCAACGGCCCGCUCUGCAUGCACCGGAAUCGCAGUGGGCUGGACGACGCCACACGGCGUUGGUUGUCCCGUCUCCUCGACGAGUCCUCGCUGCAAGUGUGUACGCUGCAGGAGACUCACUUCUCCCCUGCAGGCCUGGAAGGCGCUUGGUCUGCACGGCGUUCAGUCUUUCGGUGCAGCAAGAGAGAGGGAGGGAGCGCGAGUGAUGAGCGAGAGAGGAGCCCCGUAGUACAUGCCGAUUAUGCCCACAGCGCAUGCGCGCGCAGCAUGCGGCAUCUCCUCCAUCCCACCGUGCGGGCGGAUGAGGCGCCGGCCGCGCGGCACGUAUCCGAAGAGGGGACGAGGCGGGAGAGGAGGGGCCCGCUAGACGCAUGUCCCGAUUCGACGGCAUGACGGUUGCUCCUAGACGGCCAGGACGUCGCCGCAGCGCGGCAGUGGGUGCGUGGGCUGCAACUGUGCAUGCGUGUGCCUUUGCUGGCCAUCGGCGGUGGAGUGAUUCGUUGAGAGGAAAGGAGGCAUCCUCUUGCGGCUGUAUUCCUCGGCUCACGUGAGCACUCUUUUUGGUUUUCUUCGUACGCACUGCCGUCAGAGUGGUCCGCUGGUGUGGGAUUUAGCGUGCGUGUAUUUAUGUGCAUUUUUUUUUAUGAGACUGUAUAAGACGUCGUUCUUUUUUUUUUCGUGUUUUCUUUGUGUGUUUCUUAUUUUUUUUUCCGGUUUUACUUUGUCAUCUCAUCGUUUCUUGUGCCCCUUGGGUUGUGUCUUGUGCGAGUUGUGUUGCGCAUAAUAUAGAUUUAUAUAUCUUUUUGGUUGUCGUUGUUCGUCCUGUAAAGACGCUCGGACGUGUUCGUUGGCGUCCGAGUAGGGGGUUGCUGUUGUAGCGUACAGCCUCUGAGUGCUGAAGGGGUAUCUGAAAGUGGCUCUUCUGGGGUUUUCUUUUUUUUUCAACUCGUGCCUUCACUCUCAACGUUCCUGCAUGUGCGCGCCUUUGCGGGGUGGGUGACAUCUCCUCACAGCUCUCGGACUGUUGUCCGUCGUCAGCGGAACUUUGUAUGUAUCAUUCGAGUCCGGCGUCGUUGUCUCGUGGGUGCUGUCUGAGAUGCGUUGUUUUCUUCUUGAAGGCGUGCGAUAAGGGCGGAAGCGGGGGAGGGAUGGCCGAUAAAUGGUGUGACGACGACGAGCCGAAACACUCUGCACCGUUCCCGUGGCGUGCUUCACCCGCCAUGCGGCCUCUCUUUGCCCCCAUUUCGCUCUUCACGGUUCAGAUCUCGAGGAGUCGAGUCAUUGCAAGCCUUUGGCUCUUGCCUCGCUCCGCCCCUAGCCUACCCACCGCGACAGGGGCCCGUGCGCGACGGACGGAGGGUAUACGUCUGUCUGUCGUUUCGUGCGUAGUGUUACCCGGUGAGGACUUGAAAACAGCCGAAUUCUCAUGGGUCGCUUUGCCGGCGCUUGCGGUAUGGAGAGCGCGAGUGGAGGGAUACCAGACUGGUAUACUCUUCCACGGAAACAAGGAACUCGCCCCGCUGGGAAGCGCUUGGGACCAUGUGCUGGAAUGCGUCAUGCUCAACUCUCGACAUCAUUCUCUCCACCCUCUUUGCUAAUCAUCGUGGUGCCAUGAUUCGUUGGUACCGUCUUCCUGCUUUUCGGUGCCUUUGAGGACUGCCAGCGGCUCGCGUGGCUGCGCCUCUCUUUUUGGUCUCUCUCUCUGCCUGCGCCUCUCGCAUCUUUUUGUUUAGUGUUCUCCGUUUGGCUUUUCAGUGACGCAACGCUAGUGCUUGUGGGUGCGUCUGUGUUUCGGAGGAGAAUGUGCAUCUGUUCUCGUCGUAUCACUUUCGCAUGUUUCGUCGUGCUGUUGUUUUUCCUACUUCUUCCCCCAUCUUGCGUGCACGCGUAUGCGUGUCUUGUUUUGCUUCUCUGCUCUUUUCAUGCACGCACCCUGCGGACACGAACACCAACGCCCCCUUUUCGCAAUCGCUUUUCUCUUUCGAUUUUUUUUUCGUGAUGCUUCCAUAGGAGACACCGUUUCUUGACCCCUAUAUUGUGUCUUUCUCACUUUCCCUGUUCCUUGCCUCCGCUGUCUCUGUCUGCCUUCUCUCUUCCUCGGCCUUCACACCCGCUGAUGUUUCCCUUCUGUUUGUUUCUUGCUGGUUGCCGCAUCGUUGUUGUUCAUUCCGAACUCUCGCGUUUUCUACUUUGUUCGCUCCGUUCCUCGCUAGGUGACUGUGUCUUCACAAGUGUUUUCUUGUUGUCCGAUCUCGCAGCAACCAAGGUGAGACCGCCUUUGUCCCUCCCUGAUCUUGCAUACACACAUACAUACAAGAAAGUGUACAACAACUGACGAAAUAAGAAAGACGCUCACAUUCUUCUUGUCGCUGCCGCUGUGCCUCUGUUCUCUGUUUGUGUCUUGUCCAUUGACGUGUUGUGUGUGCGAGCCUGUGUGAACGACCUCCUUAUCGCUCUGUGUGUAUUCGCGUCGUCGUCUAUAUAGAAAAUAAGAACAUCGCCCCCGUGUGUGUCUCCCUCUCCCUCUCUUCCUCUCUCGUCUCUUUUUUGAUGUUGUAUGUAUUGCAUCUGUGCGUGUGUAGGCGUGUGUGUGUUUCGCAUGGUCAGCUGCCCCUGACCGAGAUGGAACAACAACGACGACAAAACAAAACAACGGACUAAAGGAAGAAGGCGCAAAGGGUGGGGAGGCAUGUGCUCCCCCCUCACACACACACAGACAGACAGACAGACACGCCCAAGGCCGACGCCGUGAACGGGGCGGACGUGGUUCACAUGAUCGUCAGCUAACCUUUCAGUAUUUCUCUCUCGCACUUUCUCUCUCUCUUGCACUUUCCUCUUCUAUUCUGCUCCCUUCUUUCUGUUGACUCCGACCUCAAUAUCACGACGACUUCGCCAUUUUGUUUUUCUCUUUGUGCUUCUUAG
RNAcentral lists this unclassified non-coding RNA (11183 nucleotides) under Leishmania donovani. Its description in RNAcentral is "gene:LdHU3.30.4520(CDS-product:hypothetical_prote in_conserved)". Lineage: Eukaryota; Euglenozoa; Kinetoplastea; Trypanosomatida; Trypanosomatidae. The record is from RNAcentral.